Molecule: small nuclear RNA, 104 nt
Organism: Jaculus jaculus (lesser Egyptian jerboa)
Lineage: Eukaryota; Metazoa; Chordata; Mammalia; Rodentia; Dipodidae
Source: Ensembl
GUGCUUGCUUCGACAGGACAUAUGCUAAAAUUGGAAGGACACAGAGGUUAGCAUGACCCCUGCGCAAGGAUGACGCGCAAAUUCAUGAAGCAUUCCAUACUUUU